This is a long non-coding RNA of Centrocercus urophasianus (Greater sage-grouse), 8579 nucleotides long. RefSeq lists it as uncharacterized. Lineage: Eukaryota; Metazoa; Chordata; Aves; Galliformes; Phasianidae. The transcript has 6 exons. The record is from RefSeq and is a predicted model, not a curated record.
CGGGCAGCGGAGCGGCAGGGCGGCGGUGGCGGCCAGGGUCGGACGCGCGGCGUGGAAGCGUUCCAAAGAACAUCAACUUGCUUGCUGCUGUAAAGCCUUCAUGCGAACUACAAGCCACUCCUCUGCCUUGAAACCACACUAAGCCAGUAGCAUCAUUUUAAAGCUCAAAGAAGGGAAGUACGAUGCAUGUUAGUUUUCUCCCUGCUGUGUUCUGAACAUUGUAAGGCGCUGCUGGUGGUGCGAGUUGCAUACUUCCAAGAGAACCAGCUGCACUGGUGGGAACUCACCUUAUAUAGGUGAAAAAAGCUGCUGUGAGGCAAUUUUGUCCCAAAUGGGCUGCUUCCCCAGAAGGAGGAAUGCAAACACCUCAAGUAUUGCUCUUAGGAUGCCGAAGCCUUUUUGGUGACCUGGCUUUCUCUAGCCUGUGACCACAAUCUCCCUACCUGGCAAAAACAAGUGGCACCGCAUGGUGAGCCCUGUUACUCUGUGUGCUCAAAUGCAAGCAAUAGCCUUAGCGUUCCUGAUCACGUAGAAACCAUAAGAGAAGGCUGGCAGGCCGAGCACGCUGCCAGGGGCAAGGGCCAUCUCGUGCAGUGCGGGGAGCGUCUCAUCGUCCACCAUCCGCAGUAGGCGGCCAUUCAGCUGCACCUCUCUGCCAAGGCAUGAUGGGAUACUGCAGGCAUCAUCUCUGGCUCUGGGUGUGAGCAAGGGCACCCAGAGCAGCACGACAAACAGCCCCCAAAUGAGCAAGGUUUCUGAGGCUGCCUACACGCUGCUCAGUCCUUGCUCCAAAAGGAAGAGGUAUGGGCUCACCUGGACAGGAUGCUGUCCUUGCCGUGAGGCAGCAGCAGGUACUGAUCCACGCUCUUACUCCACAACUGCUUAGGCAGUUGCAAGCGCUGGGUCACGUUAUAGAGGUUCAAGGCAAACAGUGUUACAUCCCCUUCUCGGUAUUUGGGGCUGUGUGAGAGAGAUAAUGAGUUUGGUAGAAACAACAGACACCCACACACUUCCUCUUUCCUCUGGCCAUAGUGUUGCCACCACGUGGGCAAUUGCUGCUUACUGCUGGGGGUUGGUGCAGUGCAGGUAAACCCGCAGGCGCCGUGCAUCCACUUGCUCCACGCUGGCCUCCAGUACCCGGGUGCCCACCAGUUUCUUAUAUAGCAGUGACAGCCAAUAGUCCUGGGGGAAUGGGAUUCAUCUCCACCAAGCACUCAUUUUUUUGAAGCAACUCCACUUUCUGUCCCCAUAGCUUUUCACGUCACCUGGAUUUUGGCAAUGCUAUGCUCCUUCUGCAGGGCACUGUGGAGCUGGCAGGGAACCCAUAGGGGACGCACUACUCUCCAUGCAGGAAAACCCCAUGCCCGAUUUAUGGGCACGACAUCAGGGAGAAAUACCCAGGGAUUUUGGCAGCCUGGUGACAUGGUGUUUCCCAGCAGGUCAUGUACGCACCGGCAAGGGCUUGAAGCUGCUGUCCACCAGGUGAUAGCUGCCAGCUCCAAAGAAGACCUGCCUCAUCACCACGUCAAUGCCACGUUGAGCUGCCAGCCCCAGCUUGUCCAGCCACCUGCCGGGAACCGGCCACAGGUCACACUGGGGCUCAGCAUGAGAGCAGCUCCCGUGCUCCCAGUGCCACUCACAUGAAGCCGGCCACAUAUGUGUUGGAUAGCUGGGGGGCUCCCCCGCCAUACGCUGAGCUGGUCUCACCCAGCCAUACCUUCUUACCGGGAACUGUUGCUUCCACAAUCUAUGUGGAGAGGGAAAGGAAAUAGGAGAUAGGUCAAGCUUUGUCUGCUGAAGUUACUGCAACCACCUAUGCCCAUUGCACUUAUUAUUACUUUUGCUAAAAUUAAGGAUUUUUACACUGUCAGCAGCAGCUGAGUUUGGAGGAUGCUUAUUAAUUGUUGCACAGCAGAGCAGUCUCUGUGCAAAGCCACACGGGGAGGAUUAAAGAAGAGCAGGCACCUCCAGGACAUUGCGUACGGCUGUGGCAAAGGAAUCCAGCACAUCAGGGCUCAGGAAAUCCUCCCUUGUUGCACUUCGGCCAUUCACAUAGUAGCUGGAAAUGGAAAAAAAAAAAACAAAAAAAAAACCAACAGCUGAAAUGAAGGAAAAAUAUCAACAUUGGUACCUGCUCUCACUCAAGCUCAGUCUAAAUGUCCCUGCACCAGCUGGGAAGCUGCUGAGCAUUUGUUCUAACGGACAGAGCCACUGCUUGUCUUUGCAACCAUGCUGCAUCCAUCUGGUUUGUGCUGAGCCACAUCCCUUCCCAGUCACAUAUCUUUCUGUGGCUGGAGGACUUGGUGCAAGCCCCAGUUGUGGGUGGAGAUGUUCUGCAGGUGGACCAAGGGUACUGUUGUUCCCCACCAAAGUGCAGCAUAUGCCAAAAAGCUGCGCAGCUCUCCGUGCAAGAGGGAGAGAUACAAUGCAGCUCUUGCAUUGCAAGUGAGAGCUGCUGUGCUCUCACUUCUCUGCACAUCAUUUCUCUUUUUAUUGAUAAAACGUGUUUUGUAAUCAAAAUGACCUUGCACGCACCGCAUUCCCUGCUGCUAUGUCUAUGCAACUCCUGGAAUAGAUUUUGGGUCUUGUUUGAAUACUCUGCUAUUUAGAGCAAAGCACAAUACAGAGGCAUUUGGGACCUGCCAACAGAGUUGUUUCACCUCUUCCUUUCCACUAGCAUAUGUGAAUUGACAUUUCUUAAAAAAAAAAUAAGAGCCAAUAAGCAGAGCAGCGAUAGCAGCUGAGGGUACUCACUGGUGCCAGGUGACAGAGUCAAUCGCCUUCCCUCCGGAUUUCAGGAAGCUGCAGUCAAACAAGGGUUAUAGCAGGUACUGGUGACAUGCUGCAGCAUCCACCCUACGUCCCUGCAUGCCGUGGUUCCCAGAUCACAUCAUUGCUACCCUCCCAAUGGUGUCACACGGGCCCUGGACACCCUGUCUACCUUCUGAGCAGGUGCUGGGUGUGCUUGCGGGGCUGCCCCACGUCGGGGCCAUACAGCUCAGCGUGUCGGUACAGGGGGUGCUGGCUCAGGAGCUGCCGCAGGUGGAUGAAAUCGCGUCCCAACUGGAAGCCAUCGAUGUAGAUGCCCGACUUCUUCCUGAAGCUGUUAGGCUCUGGGGAAGAGGUGCCCAUCAGCACCGCUCUGUGCACAGGGCUCAUCCCCAGCCAAAGUGGGAAUGCUUACCAUUGCCCAGCUCCCAGGAGAUGUUGUAGCUGCGCUGUGCACAGUAGCCCAGCAGCUGCUUGGCGUUGGAGCUGUCCCACUGCAGGCCGGCCCUGCGCAGCAGUGCGUUCAGUCCAAACACCAGGCGGAAGCCUGAGCAGCUGGCAAAUGUGUGGAGGAUGUCCAGUGUGUUUCCUGCAUGAAGCAGAAGAUGGCUUCAUCCUGAUGUCUCAGCAUGGAGCUGGGAACUGCGGACUGCAACCUGCUGGUUGUAAACCCUACUGGGAAAAUCCAUCAAAAACUUACUUGUAAUGGUGGUGUUUUUGUGCUUUUUCCAGGAAUGUUCAGCAAGGAGCAGUUUCUCCUGGAGGGGCCACUGAGUGAGCAACAGCUCUGGAACCAUAGCAGAGCUGGGCCAUGAUCUGCACACAUCUGUAGGGCAGAAGAAGGGUGGGAGAAACCAAGCUGCCAUCACCAUAUCAGGCAACACACAAAGGGUCAUACUCAUCACAAAGAAAUGGGAGAGGUGUGUGUGGGGCUGAGCACUAGACAUCCAUUUCUGCGCAGCACGGGAUCAAAUCCCUCUUACCACUCUCGGCCUGAAGUUCUGAUAGGACUUUCUCUUCCCAAGUUGAAUCUUGUUUGGGAUUGAAGAUCAGGAAAUCUGUACUAGUGCCUCCAAACCUCAGGAAGCCUGGGGAGAGCCCACUGGCCAGAGUGUGCAGCUUGGGGUGUCUGUGGAAGGUAAAUUAAAUGUCAGGGUAAUCUGCCACAUGGAAACAAAGCAUCAGCAGCAUUCAGAGAGACACCUUGCAGCAGAGGAUCUGAGCCACCCGAGUGUGGGCUUCAGGCUGGCUUUACACCAUUUCUCCCUUUUUCCAUGGACAACCACCAAAUGGAUAGAUUUUGUACCAAAACCAGAGCGUGUGUGGAAUGAGUGUUCAAAGUAAAGCAGAUGCAGUUCCAGUGCUAUCUGGGAUGGCAGCAGCCCUAUCUCACUCUGUGGGGACACCCAGCAGAUACGAAGCCACCAAGCACUUCCUGAUGUCAUCACAGCAGCCAGAGCUGCCUGCCUUCAGAUAAAGCUGAUGCUGCCUUACAGUUUCAGAGCAAUGGGGCAGGGCUAGAAUUUGGGAUUGGGUGGGUGAAAAGGAAAGAAAUUAAAUGACUUUGGGGAAAACAAACAAACAAACAAACAAACAAACAAAAAAAAAAACCCACAAAAAGUUGAAUCUAAAAGAGAAGAGAACAAAGAAAUAGAGCUGAAAGAAGAGUCCAGGAGCCCAUCGUCUGGAAGCCCUGAGCUGGGAUUUGCUCACAGUCAGAAAAGGCUUUGAUUUUAGCAGCUACUUGUUCACCUCCACGCACAUCAGAACCUCUCUGGCAUUCAGUGGGGCUCACAGCACCCAGAGUCCCACUAAGCAUCCACAGAGCAGCACCAAGGCUCAGCCUGCUUCUGUCCCAGCCAGAAGCAUCAUCCACUGCCAGCAUCACACACCAGCACCUGGCAUCCUCUCACCCGCUCACCCAGGAGUGGAGCAGCUGCAGGGCUCACCUGAGCAGGGCAACAAAGCGCGGGUCACGGGCCAAGCUGGCAUCCAGCGUAAGAGAGAGGAAGGCUGGGCUUACCGCCCCGAUGGGUUCCCGCAGCCUCAGCUGCAGCUCUGCCGUCUGCCUCGGCGGCACAGCCAGCAGCAGCAGCAGCACCAGCACCAGCAUCCUUCCUUCUUCUUCUCAUCUUCCUCCUCCUCCGGGCCGCUCCGCCGCCCCAGCACCACCCCUGGAGGGCGGGCAGCCCCAGCACCGCCCCGCAGCCACCCGCUCCCAGUUUUCCUGAUAUGAAAUCACCCUCCGCCAGAACGAGACCAACCAGAUCGCAUGAGCGCUGCCGUUUGUAAACACACCCACGGUUCUGCCGGAGCGGAAGCAUCAGCGACACUCCUCUUGGCAUCACGAUCAGCAGGAUGCUUCCAAUUUUGGGCUAUGGCACGCAUCUACCCUUUGCGGGGUGAGUUGCAGUAAGUCCUGCAUCCAUCCCAUGGGUUUUGCAGCAGCCACCCAGCCCUGCGACUGGGACGUGGAUCCAGUGAUCCAUGCUACAUUUGGGAUGCAAUCCACUGAGAGCGGAUCGUGGCAAUGAUGGGUCCGGUGCUUGCUGGCCCUAGGGGAGCCUGCUGCCCCUCGCAGCUGCAAAGUAACACUACAGGUGUUACACGACAAUUAGCAUUACUUGUUAGGGUGUUGUCCACAUGGCAUUAAGCACGUUUUAAAAUCCUGCAGAGAAAGGGAGAUGAAUACAGAAGUAUUUGUCACUCAUCGAAGUGCAAGCAAAGUGCUUUACUGGGAGCUCCAGAGCGAGGGUGUAGGGGCCAGGACAUGCCUAAAAACCCUUUCUUAGUGCUAAUGCUCCAUCCACACUGGCCCUGUCCCACUGUCACCACCCCUGCUGCACUGGAGCCAGUGGUGCCAAUGGCAGGCACACAGCAGGAGUUCAUAGCAAUAACAGUGCUUUCUGGGAAUUUGUGCAGCCCAACCAUGGAAGUGCUGAGCUAUCACCAACAGCAGCACCCCAGCUCUUCCUGAGCAAGAACCAGUUGACUUUUAUGUGGGCAAAGGAAAUGCAGAAGGGUAGAAUAAACAGUACAAAAGGCAAACGUCUCUUGUGGCAUCACAGCAUUUGUGCAGAUCAACAUUACUGGCGGUGUCAGAUCAGUCUUUCUAUGUAAGAAACCUCACUGAAACAAAACUCAAUUGCAAAAGUAGACUAUGUACUGAAAAUUAGGUCUCUUAAAUAAUUAAAACCACAGGCUGUGCUUCUCAAAGGCCUCCCACAUCAUCCUCAUGUCUCCUCAUACUGUGUACCACAAAUCUUUGAUUUCAGAAGCCAGAUAAUUUUUCUAUAAACCUAAACAAAACCUUCACGUGCUUUGUAUUCAUUGCAACCUGCACCCCAUGCCAGGCCCGUGGAAGCGAUGAAUGAAGCUUUCAGUCACAGGAUGAAACAGGAGCUGACACUGAGUCAGCUCUCACUGCAGCACCUUUCCAGAACAGAGACCACAGCAGUGAACCUGGCUGCAAGCCUCCUGCCAGCCCCUUCUGGACACAGCCUUCUGCAAGCCACGCACAGAAUGUGUGUGUCACACAUCACAUGUGGUGAGAGAGGGUUGCAAGGAUUGGCCAGCAGUGAUCCAGGUUCCCUUUGAUUCACCUUUCCAAGAACAGCAAGCCUCAGACGAACUGGCACUAGCAAUUCAGAGGUACUGACUUAAACCUGAAAAACCUUACACAGUUCUAAGUAAACCAGGUAUCAUUACUUCCUUUGCACCUGCACAGUACUGUGUCUGCCACCCUCAUUUCUCUUUUGUCACGUUUUCUGCAUUUGCUGUCACUGACACAAAUCACUGCCUUAUCUUCUUUAGAAGAUCUAAAUGAAAUGAGAGCUUGUUGUGCCUGAAAAGUGUUGCCCCUAUUUUUCUGCAACUUUUAAUACCACCUCAUGAGCUUCCAUAGCACUCCAGAUAAGACUGCACUUUGCUGCUUAGAGCUUAUUAAUAUUUUUUUUGCUUUACUCAAUUGUAUCUUUUCCUUUAGUUUUACACCAAGUCAUGGCUGUUAGCUCACAAGGACAGGAGAGAUUCUCUGGAAUUUGACAGCUAAAAUCAGCAUGGGAGUACGUGUGGCCUGCUUCUCUUUACUAGGCUUGGUCCUGUUGUGGUAUAAGAAUGCAAUGCAGCCCAACAGUAAUUACUGUAUACCGUCUUUUUGGAGAUGUUUCUUUUGCAAAACUUACAGUGAUUGAACUUGUAUACAAAGUUUAAGUCAAAUGCAUUUCUAGGCUAGUUUUUAAAGCAUUUGGUAAUGCCAAGGCUCUAACUGCCUGAGUAAUAAUUCCUAUCAGAUGGAAAAGUGGUACACUGCCGUAUGGGAACUGCUGAACCACAGCCUGAACCUCUGAUUGAUCACCUGAGGCAAGCACUCAGUCAGCUGCCAGAGCACAGGUGAAGGCAAUUCAGCUGUGUGACCAGAAGGGGUGGCACCAUUUAAGGGUUGCCUGCCACUGAGGAAGGAUCUCUUCUGGAGGUUGCUCUUUGUGGAGUUUUUUGUGAGUCUACAACACUGCUUGUUGCAGAGUUGCAUCUGGCGCUCCUCAAUUAAAUCUGGGAUGGUUAAGAAACAACCAAGACAGCUCUUUUCUCACAGUGACAUUCCAUAACCAGAAGGCCUCGUCUCACAAAGGAAAGUUUGUUGGUAGUGCAGUCUUAAUCCAAGAGGAAAGCGUAGCCCAAAUCAUUGUUAUCUAUCAUUAUUGGCAAAAAGGAACUGCAAAAAGUCUGUGAGCACUGGUUUCCACAUACAUUUUGUGUGCUUCUGGAAUGUUUGAAUUAUCUUCUUUUGAAGAAACUCUUGUAUGAAACUGAGAGAUAGCUUCAGCCUGUGAAAUACAAGUGCUUUCCUUGUCCUACAUCUUUAUGCUAUGAGAUGAAAAAAAAUUGUACUUUCUGGUUGUAUGGGAACUUUUGAUCACAGCCUGAACCUCUGAUUGACCACCUGAGGCAAGCAAUGAGUCAGCUGCAGGAGCACAGGUGAAGGCAAUUCAUUUGUGCUACCAGGAGGGGAUGAAGGCUGGCUCCACCUCUCUUAGACCCCUCUUAAGGACUGACUGCUACUGAGGAAGGAUGUGUCUGGAGGUUGCUCCUUGAGGAGUUUACUGUGAGCCUACAAUGCUGAUUUUUGGGAACGAGAAGAAAGCUCACCCAUUUUCUCCAAAUACAAAAGUUGUGAUGAAGGCAAUUCAUCGAAAACAGAAUCACUGAGGUCUUCAUUGGUGUUUCCAGCAUCAUUUUCAUUCAUUUGGAAGCCGUAACGUUCAUCCACUUGAUGCAUACUACUAUCUUCUGUAGCAUGCAAAUUACAUUGCUUGCUUUGGUUCAUUUCUGACUGAAGAUUCCCAUGUGCAAACUCCCUGGCUGCUUUCAUGUCCACACCUUUUUCCUGGGGGUGCUGGUGCUCUGCAUCAAGAACUUGAGCCAAUAAAGAAUCACUUUCAUGGAAGCUGUCAUAGUCGCCAAACAUAUCCUCUUCACUAUCGUUGUUACCCUGUGAAAAUAGAACAGUAAGGGAAUUAACACUGCAAAGUAACAAGCUGGAAAAACCUCGGCAACCGAAGCAUAAAGUGUAAUUCAUUUAACUGCUCUGCAAUUUAUCAAGCAAUUAAUCUGCCUUUUCACUUUGUCAGUUCAACUUUUAAUGGAAUGUAUACUCGCAAAUGAGUGAAAUGCGGCACAGUCAACGAGCAGCUUUUUCUGAGGUUUCUGAUCCCGAACACACCCCCUGCUCAAGUGCUCCCCGCCACCACAGCCUCACUCCGGCCCGCUUCCUCCGUCCCAGCCACCACCUCCGUACCGGGGGCUCGGCC